CGGGGAGGAGCCCAGAACCUGAAUCAGUUUGUGUGUUAGUGGAAGCGUCUGGAAAGUCGCACAGUAAAGGGUGAUAGUCCCGUACACAAAAAUGCACAGGCUGUGAGUUCGAUGAGUAGGGCGGGACACGUGACAUCCUGUCUGAAUAUGGGGGGACCAUCCUCCAAGGCUAAAUACUCCUGACUGACCGAUAGUGAACCAGUACCGUGAGGGAAAGGCGAAAAGAACCCCGGCGAGGGGAGUGAAAUAGAACCUGAAACCGUGUACGUACAAGCAGUGGGAGCCUACUUGUUAGGUGACUGCGUACCUUUUGUAUAAUGGGUCAGCGACUUAUAUUCUGUAGCAAGGUUAACCGUUUAGGGGAGCCGCAGGGAAACCGAGUCUUAACUGGGCGUUAAGUUGCAGGGUAUAGACCCGAAACCCGGUGAUCUAGCCAUGGGCAGGUUGAAGGUUGGGUAACACUAACUGGAGGACCGAACCGACUAAUGUUGAAAAAUUAGCGGAUGACUUGUGGCUGGGGGUGAAAGGCCAAUCAAACCGGGAGAUAGCUGGUUCUCCCCGAAAGCUAUUUAGGUAGCGCCUCGUGAACUCAUCUUCGGGGGUAGAGCACUGUUUCGGCUAGGGGGUCAUCCCGACUUACCAACCCGAUGCAAACUACGAAUACCGAAGAAUGUUAUCACGGGAGACACACGGCGGGUGCUAACGUUCGUCGUGAANNNNNNNNNNGAGGGAAACAACCCAGACCGCCAGCUAAGGUCCCAAAGUCAUGGUUAAGUGGGAAACGAUGUGGGAAGGCAUAGACAGCCAGGAUGUUGGCUUAGAAGCAGCCAUCAUUUAAAGAAAGCGUAAUAGCUCACUGGUCGAGUCGGCCUGCGCGGAAGAUGUAACGGGGCUAAACCAUGCACCGAAGCUGCGGCAGCGACACUUAGGUGUUGUUGGGUAGGGGAGCGUUCUGUAAGCCGUCGAAGGUGGUCUGUGAGGGCUGCUGGAGGUAUCAGAAGUGCGAAUGCUGACAUAAGUAACGAUAAUGCGGGUGAAAAACCCGCACGCCGGAAGACCAAGGGUUCCUGUCCAACGUUAAUCGGGGCAGGGUGAGUCGACCCCUAAGGCGAGGCUGAAAAGCGUAGUCGAUGGGAAACAGGUUAAUAUUCCUGUACUCGGUGUUACUGCGAAGGGGGGACGGAGAAAGCUAGGUUAUCCGGGCGACGGUUGUCCCGGUUUAAGCGUGAAGGUGGAUGACUUUGGUAAAUCCGGGUCAUU
RNAcentral lists this ribosomal RNA (1260 nucleotides) under Pectobacterium actinidiae. Its description in RNAcentral is "bacterial LSU rRNA". It matches the Rfam family "Bacterial large subunit ribosomal RNA", at positions 293 to 1551 of the family's 2925-position model. Lineage: Bacteria; Pseudomonadati; Pseudomonadota; Gammaproteobacteria; Enterobacterales; Pectobacteriaceae. The record is from RNAcentral.